AGCUUGUUGUCUGCCUCCUCUGUCCCAUAGUCCUGAUUCUCUGAUGUUUGCAGAUUGUCUGACUUGUUGCAGCGCUUCCAAACGAGGAUCUGUCCCACUCCUGCUGUCCCUCCCAGGAGCCCUGUUGCUCUCAGGCAGCCCCUGAGAGGCGCCUCUCAACUCUGCCUCUAUACGUCUCCUCCUUGGAAGUGAAUGGCUGUAUCGAGCUGCCCAAGCUUCCAGCUCCCGAUAGCUGCUGUCGCUCCUCUUUGCAGAAACUUCCCUGUUGUAGCGGACAGGACCACAGGGCUCCCACCUUCUAUGCCACCCUUCCCUCAGAAAUCCUCUCUCAUAUUCCCUCGAUGAUCGUUGAGCUGCUGUCCACUCUCUGUCUCUGGCUUCCUGUGGCUGAUGGUCUCCCUGGUCCUGGUGCUGCUGAGUGUGACGCUCAAGAAUAAAAGGGAAGUGAGAAGAUGUAGCAGCUAUCAGAUCUUGGUCGGUCCAUUGAGUGUACUCCUGUGGAGCCCCUCCUGUUCUUGAUCCUGGUACAGUCCAGUAGCUGGACUCCCUGUUCUGUUCCUGCUGAUCACCGUGGUACAGUGGAUAAUGGGGAACCUGAUGUCUGUCGUGGGGACUGUGGGUGAAAUGAUGAAAAAUGUAUUCCCAGACCCGGGAAGCCACGCCGAGGCUUGCCCCGAACACCUGUCUGAUCUUCAGCUGCUGGCCAGCCAACGUGUACACGGUGUCUUGAGAAAAUGUCUCCGCAAACAGACAGUCUUCAACAGGAAACGGGUCGUCUUCUUCUCCUGCACAAUUCAUAGUUGUGUUUCACCUCAUCAAUCCCCUCUGUCCAUUUGGGAGGCAGCUUCUUUGUGACUCCGAUGGCCGCUUCAGGAUCCAGACUAAUCCCUGACACCAGGGCCAUACGAUCGUCUGCCAACUUGAAAAAAACAAAUUAUAAAUGAUUCUAUUAAAAGUGUUUUCUGAGAUAAGUCAAUAUGAUGAUGCAGUAAAACAAAUUGUGUAAACAAUUCCUCCACAAAAGGGACACAACAGUACCUCAUCAAGCUCCUAAUGUGAUUGGCCGAUAGCAGAUGGGUCCCAUCCAAUAGAAAACAAGGAAAAGGAGAGAGGGACAGAAGUAAGAGAAAGUGAGGCCCAGAAAAAUCUGCAGUUAUUACCAGAAAAGUGCUUUUGCAUCCAUUCUGCUAUAUAAUGAAUACAUCUGAAGUGUAACAUAAUAAUUGCUGUACAGCAGAGGAACAUAAUAUCUGGCAGAACUGAGAAUCAUUUGUCCUGAGUUUACAUGUUUAUGUGCAAAAGUGUAAAUCUAGAGAGAGCGCCACAAUAGGCUACAUCACAUUUAUCUGGUAAAUAUUUGCACAUUAUCCCACUUUAAAUAAAGCAUUAACAAAAAAUGAGCAGGAAUUAAAUAUGUCAUAGAAUAUUAAAAAGACACUGUGUUUCUUUUAGAUGAAUAUGUCCCUUGUGUCGUGUCUUGUUUGAACUGACAGUCUCUUCUGCCUUCUGGCAAAGUCAGUUAUUUUAAAACAGCUUUAACAAGCUGAAUGUUUGUUUUCUAACACUGUUUUAGUCAUUGCCUUUUAGUCACUGCAAAUAUAUUUCUGUCGCUGAAAUAAAUAACCUGAUAUCAUAAUUGCACUACUGUAAAAAGAAAAAAGGUUUAGAAUGAAUUGAAUCACAAUCUCAACACUAGCUCAUGUAUAUUUAAUCUGUGACGUUGAUCUGACAUAGCAGAGAUAUCUUAAUCAACACA
Long non-coding RNA from Eleginops maclovinus (Patagonian blennie), 1756 nucleotides. RefSeq lists it as uncharacterized. The record is from RefSeq and is a predicted model, not a curated record. NCBI's taxonomy places the organism in Eukaryota, Metazoa, Chordata, Actinopteri, Perciformes, Eleginopidae. The transcript has 3 exons.